Mauremys reevesii (Reeves's turtle) is the source of this 282-nucleotide long non-coding RNA. RefSeq lists it as uncharacterized. The transcript has 3 exons. The record is from RefSeq and is a predicted model, not a curated record. Lineage: Eukaryota; Metazoa; Chordata; Testudines; Geoemydidae.
GAAAAUCUGAUUCUUUCUACCAUCAAGAACGAGUUGAGAGCUUGGUGUCUCAGUAAAAAACUGUGCGUUAGGAGCUCCUGAGUUCUAAUUGUGAGUCCUUCUGUGACUUUGGGAGCUUCUGGAAGGUUCUCCUUCAUUUGCAGCUUGGACAGAAUGCAGCAUCAUGCAUGGUCACUGGACUGAACAGCCCUGAUCAUGUUUCAUCCUCCUUGACAACAUCCUUUGAAACUAUCAGCCCAAUACACAGAGAACAGUAGUUCAAAACAAAUACACUGAUACCGG